GACGAACGCUGGCGGCGUGCUUAACACAUGCAAGUCGAACGGAAAGGCUCCAGCUUGCUGGAGUACUCGAGUGGCGAACGGGUGAGUAACACGUGGGUAAUCUGCCCUGCACUCUGGGAUAAGCCUGGGAAACUGGGUCUAAUACUGGAUAUGACCUUUCUCCUUAUGGGGUUUGGUGGAAAGUUUUUCGGUGUAGGAUGAGCCCGCGGCCUAUCAGCUUGUUGGUGGGGUGAUGGCCUACCAAGGCGACGACGGGUAGCCGGCCUGAGAGGGUGAUCGGCCACAUUGGGACUGAGAUACGGCCCAGACUCCUACGGGAGGCAGCAGUGGGGAAUAUUGCACAAUGGGCGGAAGCCUGAUGCAGCGACGCCGCGUGAGGGAUGACGGCCGUCGGGUUGUAAACCUCUUUCAGCAGGGACGAAGCGUAAGUGACGGUACCUGCAGAAGAAGCACCGGCUAACUAUGUG
This 467-nucleotide ribosomal RNA is filed under the name uncultured bacterium. Its description in RNAcentral is "partial 16S ribosomal RNA". It matches the Rfam family "Bacterial small subunit ribosomal RNA", at positions 28 to 507 of the family's 1533-position model. The record is from RNAcentral.